This is a long non-coding RNA of Saccostrea cuccullata (small rock oyster), 456 nucleotides long. RefSeq lists it as uncharacterized. The record is from RefSeq and is a predicted model, not a curated record. The transcript is spliced from 4 exons. Lineage: Eukaryota; Metazoa; Mollusca; Bivalvia; Ostreida; Ostreidae.
AAAAUUCGGCCGUCUAAAUUGGAAAAACACCAUUUGUGAUCUUUUUGAAGCAAAGCUUCGUCCAGUGUAUCUUUAUCCUAUAGUAUGCGUUUUCAAGACGGAAAGUUCCAGCUGCAGAUUUAAGACACAUUGAAGUGUUGAGUGACACUCAGAUGGAAUCUACAGCAACAUUAGACUACAGUCUGUGAUGAUAUCCGAUUCUAUGAGACCUGAGUCUGUUUGUUAAAAUGGUGGCCAACGACCAUAUCAUAAGGCGAAGUACUGAGAACUGCACAGACUAAAUGGAUUACUGUAGGAAUCAAGAAGACAACAUUUUGACAAUGCAUAAAAGAUUCUACGCAAAUAAUUUUUAUCAACCUGUCCUUGAAAAUACAUCGUUUUUAUUUAAUUUUACUUUUCUGCAAAUUCUUCUCCAUAAUUAAAAUAAACGUUAAAAUUGAUCAUUCAUCGGCAUUA